Long non-coding RNA from Acyrthosiphon pisum (pea aphid), 506 nucleotides. RefSeq lists it as uncharacterized. The record is from RefSeq and is a predicted model, not a curated record. The transcript has 3 exons. NCBI's taxonomy places the organism in Eukaryota, Metazoa, Arthropoda, Insecta, Hemiptera, Aphididae.
AACAUUUCUAUUGAUUAUAUGUCAGUUUAACAUACAAAAAUUAAUGCCAGAAUCCAUGUUUUUGCUGAUAUUUCGCACUUAUAUACUGAAAAUAGCUAGAAACCAUUUACUCGAUAGUGGGUUCUUACUUCCAACUGGUAAAUUCAAUGGCAAAAAUAUACUCCACGAACUUCUGAAUAUAUUAACUAUGGUAAAGAUUAUAAAUUUGCUCAUAAAUUAUCUAAGCGACAUCUUUUUGCAGAGGAUUACAUCGCACGAACGUCAGAUUAGCAGCUAAUGUAUUUUCUAACUUAGAUUCAAAAGCCAUUGUGUACUGCGACAAAAAAAAUUAUCUUAAUAAAUAAAACCGGAAAGAGAGAAGCUGCAAGUUAUGGACGAAUCAUAGAAGAUCAAAACAUUUUAAUAGAUAAAAUGAGUAAAGUUAUUAAGGACAUGAGCAUACAAGGAAAAAAAUUAUCACAUCCUUUCCAAAAAGGCUAGUACCAAUUGAAUAGUUUUAUAAUAUA